This 1383-nucleotide ribosomal RNA is filed under the name uncultured bacterium. RNAcentral's name for it is "bacterial SSU rRNA". It matches the Rfam family "Bacterial small subunit ribosomal RNA". The record is from RNAcentral.
AGAGUUUGAUCCUGGCUCAGGAUGAACGCUGGCGGCGUGCUUAACACAUGCAAGUCGAACGAAGCACUUUAUUUGAUUUCUUCGGAAUGAAGAUUUUGUGACUGAGUGGCGGACGGGUGAGUAACGCGUGGGGAACCUGCCCCAUACCGGGGGAUAACAGCCGGAAACGGCUGCUAAUACCGCAUAAGCGCACAGUACCGCAUGGUACGGUGUGAAAAACUCCGGUGGUAUGGGAUGGACCCGCGUCUGAUUAGCCAGUUGGCGGGGUAACGGCCCACCAAAGCGACGAUCAGUAGCCGGCCUGAGAGGGCGACCGGCCACAUUGGGACUGAGACACGGCCCAAACUCCUACGGGAGGCAGCAGUGGGGAAUAUUGCACAAUGGGCGAAAGCCUGAUGCAGCGACGCCGCGUGAGCGAAGAAGUAUUUCGGUAUGUAAAGCUCUAUCAGCAGGGAAGAUAAUGACGGUACCUGACUAAGAAGCACCGGCUAAAUACGUGCCAGCAGCCGCGGUAAUACGUAUGGUGCAAGCGUUAUCCGGAUUUACUGGGUGUAAAGGGAGCGCAGGCGGUGCGGCAAGUCUGAUGUGAAAGCCCGGGGCUCAACCCCGGUACUGCAUUGGAAACUGUCGUACUAGAGUGUCGGAGGGGUAAGCGGAAUUCCUAGUGUAGCGGUGAAAUGCGUAGAUAUUAGGAGGAACACCAGUGGCGAAGGCGGCUUACUGGACGAUAACUGACGCUGAGGCUCGAAAGCGUGGGGAGCAAACAGGAUUAGAUACCCUGGUAGUCCACACCGUAAACGAUGAUUACUAGGUGUUGGAGGAUUGACCCCUUCAGUGCCGCAGUUAACACAAUAAGUAAUCCACCUGGGGAGUACGACCGCAAGGUUGAAACUCAAAGGAAUUGACGGGGGCCCGCACAAGCAGUGGAGUAUGUGGUUUAAUUCGACGCAACGCGAGGAACCUUACCAAGUCUUGACAUCCUGCGACGGUGCUGGAAACAGUGCUUUCCUUCGGGACGCAGAGACAGGUGGUGCAUGGUUGUCGUCAGCUCGUGUCGUGAGAUGUUGGGUUAAGUCCCGCAACGAGCGCAACCCUUAUGGUCAGUUACUACGCAAGAGGACUCUGGCCAGACUGCCGUUGACAAAACGGAGGAAGGUGGGGAUGACGUCAAAUCAUCAUGCCCUUUAUGACUUGGGCUACACACGUACUACAAUGGCGUUAAACAAAGAGAAGCAAGACCGCGAGGUGGAGCAAAACUCAGAAACAACGUCCCAGUUCGGACUGCAGGCUGCAACUCGCCUGCACGAAGUCGGAAUUGCUAGUAAUCGUGGAUCAGCAUGCCACGGUGAAUACGUUCCCGGGCCUUGCACACACCGCCCGUCA